Molecule: unclassified non-coding RNA, 392 nt
Filed under: soil metagenome
Description: partial contains 5.8S ribosomal RNA, internal transcribed spacer 2, and large subunit ribosomal RNA
Rfam family: 5.8S ribosomal RNA (bases 1-120)
Source: RNAcentral
GAUGAAGAACGUAGCGAAAUGCGAUAAGUAAUGUGAAUUGCAGAAUUCAGUGAAUCAUCGAAUCUUUGAACGCAUCUUGCGCUCCCUGGUAUUCCGAGGAGCAUGCCUGUUUGAGUGUCAUCUAAAUCCUCAAACCACAUUGAUUCUUUCGGUGUGGCUUUGGAAGUGGGGGUAGUGUUUGCAGGUUUUAUCUUAAGUCUGCUCCCCUGAAAUGCAUUAGUGGUAUCUGAGCAGAAGGAACUACUACAGGUGUGAUAAUUAUCUAUGCCUUUUGGUAUACUGCAUGAACAGAUUGUGCUGCUUCAAACUGUACACCCUUUGGUGUUUGACAAAUUUGACCUCAAAUCAGGUAGGACUACCCGCUGAACUUAAGCAUAUCAAUAAGCGGAGGA